This is a long non-coding RNA of Pygoscelis adeliae (Adelie penguin), 118 nucleotides long. RefSeq lists it as uncharacterized. The record is from RefSeq and is a predicted model, not a curated record. NCBI's taxonomy places the organism in Eukaryota, Metazoa, Chordata, Aves, Sphenisciformes, Spheniscidae. The transcript is spliced from 3 exons.
AGAAAAUGAGGCGGAAGGCCAAGAACAAGCAGAAGCAGGAAGCUAAAGCCCCCAGAGCGAAGGAGGCUAAGAAGAAGUCCAAGGCCAAGGAGAAGAAGGGCAAACCGGAGAAGGGCAA